RNAcentral lists this small RNA (28 nucleotides) under Bombyx mori (domestic silkworm). RNAcentral's name for it is "ovarian small RNA-3206". Lineage: Eukaryota; Metazoa; Arthropoda; Insecta; Lepidoptera; Bombycidae. The record is from RNAcentral.
UCACCAAUACCGGCGGUGGGGAACUCGC